AAGAAGUUUUAUUCUUGCUUUGUUGUUCAGUUUUUGUUUGUUCUAUAUGUAAGUGUGUGCGUGAUUUGUUUAAUAAGCUCUAAAUGGGUUUUAUUGGAAGGCGGAAGAAGAAUAUAUCUCAUUAGUUAUUAUUGGUUGAUCAAAUAUUUUUGUAUCUAGCAAUGCAUUUUAGUUUCGGUUAAAUUUUGUGCCAGCAGCCGCGGUUAUACCUUGGAAGCGUUUGAACGAGUUUGGUAUUAAGGGUAGUUUUAUUAUUAUUUUGGUUAGUUUUUUAAAAUGGUUUCUGGGUGAAAUUUUUAUUUUUUGUUUUUCUAUUAUUAAAAUUUGUAGGCUAUGAGAUUUUAUUUUUAAACUAGGAUUAGAUACCCUAUUAUUUUAGAAUGUUAAGUAUAUUAUACCUGAGUAGUAAUAGUUAUGUUCUUGAAACUUAAAGAAUUUGGCGGUAUUUCAUUCCGUCUAGAGGAAUCUGUCCCGUUAUCGAUAGUCCGCGUUGGACCUUACUUAUUUAAUUUGGUUUGUAUACCGCCGUUUAUUGAUUAUCUUUUUAGGGUUGUAUUAAUUUUCUGGUUUCUUUAUUUUGAUAUAUUUCAGGUCAAGGUGCAGCUUGAUAUUUAAGUGGAAUGAUGGAUUACAUUGUUAUUUGUUUUAUUGGAUUGUUAAUUUUAAUAUUGGCAUGAAAUUGGAUUUGGUUGUAAUAAUUUGUAGAUUGUUGUUAUGAUAAUGGUUCUGGAAUAUGUACACAUCGCCCGUCGCUCUCGUUUAAAUUUAUAAUGAGAUAAGUCGUAACAAAGUGGUUGUACCGGAAGGUGUGGCUAGAUUGAU
RNAcentral lists this non-coding RNA (822 nucleotides) under Hospitalitermes sp. C TB-2017. The record is from RNAcentral. Lineage: Eukaryota; Metazoa; Arthropoda; Insecta; Blattodea; Termitidae.